This 429-nucleotide ribosomal RNA is filed under the name Verrucomicrobiota bacterium. RNAcentral describes it as "Verrucomicrobia bacterium partial 16S ribosomal RNA". It matches the Rfam family "Bacterial small subunit ribosomal RNA", at positions 355 to 776 of the family's 1533-position model. Lineage: Bacteria; Pseudomonadati; Verrucomicrobiota. The record is from RNAcentral.
UAGGGAAUCUUCCGCAAUGGACGAAAGUCUGACGGAGCAACGCCGCGUGAGUGAAGAAGGUUUUCGGAUCGUAAAGCUCUGUUGUUAAGGAAGAACGAGUGUGAGAAUGGAAAGUUCAUGCUGUGACGGUACUUAACCAGAAAGGGACGGCUAACUACGUGCCAGCAGCCGCGGUAAUACGUAGGUCCCGAGCGUUGUCCGGAUUUAUUGGGCGUAAAGCGAGCGCAGGCGGUUAGAAAAGUCUGAAGUGAAAGGCAGUGGCUCAACCAUUGUAGGCUUUGGAAACUGUUUAACUUGAGUGCAGAAAGGGAGGGUGGAAUUCCAUGUGUAGCGGUGAAAUGCGUAGAUAUAUGGAGGAACACCGGUGGCGAAAGCGGCUCUCUGGUCUGUAACUGACGCUGAGGCUCGAAAGCGUGGGGAGCGAACAGG